Molecule: long non-coding RNA, 690 nt
Organism: Lutra lutra (Eurasian river otter)
Lineage: Eukaryota; Metazoa; Chordata; Mammalia; Carnivora; Mustelidae
Exons: 3
Source: RefSeq, a predicted model, not a curated record
CAAAGAUUAGCCUAAAGCCUUCAUCCUGCCAACACGAAAAUGUUGUCUUUUGAACUCCACUGAUAAAAUUUAAUGUGAUCAAGGAGAUCUCCAGUCCCUGCUACCCCUCCAGCCUCUGAACCAACUGCACUCCAGGCCUGUGGAGCAGCUAUCACUGAGACUGCCUGCACUGCAAUACUAGGGUCUUUGACCAGUUUUGGCAUGAGGGUAUUGCUGGCCUUUGAAAAUGAGUUCAGAAGUGUGCCUUCCUCUUCAAGAUUUUUGGAAGAGUCUGAGAAUUGGUAUUAAAAUCUUCAAAUGUUUGGUGAAAUUCAUAAGUGAAGCUCUCUCCUCCUGGACUUUUGUUUCUUGGGAGGUUUUUGAUUACUGAUUCAAUCCUGUGGCUGUUUUGUAAUUCUUCUUUGUUCCUUUCUUCCCUUGUGCCUUGAUGACUUUAUGUAAUAUUCUGCUCAGAUUCCUUUCUUAUCUUUUAUGUAUCUACUAUAGGUUUUCUUUUUAUGGCAUCACAAGGCUGACAUAUAAUGACCUAUUUGUAUAACCAACUAUUUUAAGAUGAUAGCAAGUUAUGCUCCACAAAUAAGUGAAACCAUAUGAUAAUUGACUCUCUCUGCUUGACUUAUUUCACUCAGCAUAAUCUCUUCCAGUCCCGUCCAUGUUGCUACAAAAGUUGGGUAUUCAUGGAGAGAUGGA